Molecule: long non-coding RNA, 609 nt
Filed under: Vigna radiata
Lineage: Eukaryota; Viridiplantae; Streptophyta; Magnoliopsida; Fabales; Fabaceae
Description: long non-coding RNA (VRAD_LNC015114)
Source: RNAcentral
AAAUCGUGAAACAGUUUCGUCUUCUUCGCGAAACUGUUUCAGACCUUGCUUCUUCUCCGGCGACCCUGUUCUUCCAUUCUCUACCAUUUUUCAUCGUUUAAACUGCAUUUUGUUCGGUGCAUUUGCCAUUUUUGACGUUGGGGAAGAUUUUUGACCGAUCAGAAUCGUCAUUUUCGACCCUGAGAUCGUGAACUGUAUUUUGUCGCGCCCAUUCCAGGUACUUCCUUUAUGCCCUCGUCAUGUUUUCCAUUAAACCUCUAUGUUUGCUUUCGUUUCUUGAUGCAUAUGUUGUUGUGGCUUUGAUCAUUUUUGUCAAAUUUGUUGUGGUUUCUGUCGUUCUUGAAGAGGCAAAGUAUGUUAGCUUUUAUUUCAAUGUUUGAUCAUUUUUUAUCAAAUAUGCUAUGAACUUUUUUUUGUCAAAUAUACUAUGAAAUUUUUGUCAAAUAUGGAUAUGUUGUUGUGGCUUUGAUCAUUUUUUUCAAAUAUGCUAUGAAUUGAUAAUUUAAAUGAUUAUUAAUUGUAUGUUUGUAUGACUGAAUUGAUUGUAUGAUUAAAUUUAUAAUUUUAUAUACAAAAUUGUAUAAUUGUAAUUUCGUCAAAUUUAGGAAU